Molecule: transfer RNA, 77 nt
Filed under: Bacillota bacterium
Lineage: Bacteria; Bacillati; Bacillota
Also listed under: 1 other name
Description: tRNA-Arg
Rfam family: tRNA
About the family: Transfer RNA (tRNA) molecules are approximately 80 nucleotides in length. Their secondary structure includes four short double-helical elements and three loops (D, anti-codon, and T loops). Further hydrogen bonds mediate the characteristic L-shaped molecular structure. tRNAs have two regions of fundamental functional importance: the anti-codon, which is responsible for specific mRNA codon recognition, and the 3' end, to which the tRNAs corresponding amino acid is attached (by aminoacyl-tRNA synthetases). tRNAs cope with the degeneracy of the genetic code in two manners: having more than one tRNA (with a specific anti-codon) for a particular amino acid; and 'wobble' base-pairing, i.e. permitting non-standard base-pairing at the 3rd anti-codon position.
Source: RNAcentral
GUCCUCGUAGCUCAUCGGGAUAGAGCAAAAGUUUCCUAAACUUUAGGUGGUAGGUUCGAGUCCUAUCGGGGACACCA